CCUACGGGGUGCAGCAGUGGGGAAUAUUGGACAAUGGGCGAAAGCCUGAUCCAGCCAUGCCGCGUGUAUGAAGAAGGCCUUCGGGUUGUAAAGCACUUUCAGUGGGGAAGAAAGCCUUGGGGCUAAUACCCUCGAGGAAGGACAUCACCCACAGAAGAAGCACCGGCUAACUCCGUGCCAGCAGCCGCGGUAAUACGGAGGGUGCGAGCGUUAAUCGGAAUUACUGGGCGUAAAGCGCGCGUAGGCGGUCUGAUAAGCCGGUUGUGAAAGCCCCGGGCUCAACCUGGGAACGGCAUCCGGAACUGUCAGGCUAGAGUGCAGGAGAGGAAGGUAGAAUUCCCGGUGUAGCGGUGAAAUGCGUAGAGAUCGGGAGGAAUACCAGUGGCGAAGGCGGCCUUCUGGACUGACACUGACGCUGAGGUGCGAAAGCGUGGGUAGCAAACAGGAUUAGAUACCCGAGUAGUC
This 465-nucleotide ribosomal RNA is filed under the name Vreelandella stevensii. Its description in RNAcentral is "partial 16S ribosomal RNA". It matches the Rfam family "Bacterial small subunit ribosomal RNA", at positions 338 to 795 of the family's 1533-position model. The record is from RNAcentral. Lineage: Bacteria; Pseudomonadati; Pseudomonadota; Gammaproteobacteria; Oceanospirillales; Halomonadaceae.